UCGAGACCAGCCUGGCCAACAUGGCAAAACCUCAUCUCCAUUAAAAAUACAAAAAAGUUAGCCAGGCGCGGUGGUGUGGGCCUGCAGUCCCAGCUACUUGGGAGGCUGAGGCAGGAGAAUCACUUGAAUCCAGGAGGUGGAGGUUGCAGUGAGCCGAGAUUCCACCACCGCACUCCAGCCUGGGCGAUGGAGCAAGACUCCAUCUCAAAAAAAGAGAAAAUUCUACACAUACAUACUUAACACAAACUUUGUUUCAUGUGCAAAAUUAUUUAAAAUGUUAUGUAAAAUUACCUUCAGGCUGUGUGCGUAAGGUAUAUAUGAAAUAUAAAUGAAUUUUUCCAGGCAUGAUGGCUCACACCUGUAAUCUCGAUACUUUGGGAGGCUGAUACAGGAGGAUGGCUUGAGGCCAGGAGUUUGAGACCAGCCUGGGCAACAUAGUGACACCCUAUCUCUACAAAAAAUUUAAAAAUUAGCUGGGCAUAAUGGUGCACACCUGUAGUCCCAGCUACUCUGGGGGCUGAGGUGGGAGGAUCUCUUGAGCCACUAUACUCCAGCCUGAGUGACAGAGUGAGACCCUGUCUCAAAGAAAAAUGAAACAAAUGAAUUUCAUGUUUAGGCUUGCAUAUGCAUUCCCAAGAUAUCUCAUUGUGUAUAUGCAAAUAUUCCAAAAUCUGAAAUCUGAAACAUUUCAGAUAAGGGAUGCUCAGCCUGUAUCACCACUUACUAUCACCAUCAUUUUGUAUUGAAGAAAGAUAUUUCAAAUCUCCAGAAGUAGGAGGAGUAUCAUCUCAGAACUCCGGUGUGUUUUCAGUUUAACAGUGGUAUUUCAGAAGCACCUGCCCCCAUCCCUGACAUUUUCUUCAUGUUUGCUGGGACCACUCAGAAAUCAGAAGGUGCCUUCAGCAGGCUGGGCCAGCCACCUGGGGACACAGCCAGGAACAGUGGGAGGGCUGGGCCUGAGCCUGGACUCCUGCACUGAAGGCUGGGCUGUCCCCUCCAGCAUACAGCUCAUGUGUGACUUUGGGAAAGGAGUUGGGCCCUCUGGUCUUUUUGCUCCCUGGGUAAAGUCAGUGGGGGGUGCUGCUCUGCAGUCCUUCCUGGGUUCAUAGGGGUCAUGGGAGGAUCUGGAGGCUGGGCUGGCCUGCUAAAGGGACCAGCCACUUUUUGGAGUGACAUUCCAGCUGGAAGCGUCCAUCCCACCCCAGGUGUGAGGGGGGAAGCAGAGGGUGUCACAUACUGUGACAGAGGUGGGGUCAUGCUGCCAACCCCACUCUGAACCCCAGCUCAUCGAGCGGUCCCCCCGCACCCUGCCACGCUCCAUCACCUACGUGAGCAUCAUCAUCUUCAUCAUGGGUGCCAGCAUCCACCUGGUGGGUGACUCUGUCAACCACCGCCUGCUCUUCAGUGGCUACCAGCACCACCUGUCUGUCCGUGAGAACCCCAUCAUCAAGAAUCUCAAGCCGGAGACGCUGGUGAGGCCACCUCCUGCUCCCUGCCUGUAAGCCCUAGAAGCACAGUCUGUCCUGGGAGGCUGAAGAAAUGGCCCCCACCCCUCGCCGCACCUGUCCUUCCACCAAAGGCAUUCUGUUAGAUCGACUCCUUUGAGCUGCUCUACUAUUAUGAUGAGUACCUGGGUCACUGCAUGUGGUACAUCCCCUUCUUCCUCAUCCUCUUCAUGUACUUCAGCGGCUGCUUUACUGCCUCUAAAGCUGAGAGCUUGAUGCCAGGGCCUGCCCUGCUCCUGGUGGCGCCCAGUGGCCUGUACUACUGGUACCUGGUCACCGAGGGCCAGAUCUUCAUCCUCUUCAUCUUCACCUUCUUCGCUAUGCUGGCCCUCGUCCUGCACCAGAAGCGCAAGCGCCUCUUCCUGGACAGCAACGGCCUCUUCCUCUUCUCCUCCUUCUCACUGACCCUCUUACUUGUGGCGCUCUGGGUCGCCUGGCUGUGGAAUGACCCUGUUCUCAGGAAGAAGUACCCAGGUGUCAUCUACGUCCCUGAGCCCUGGGCU
This 2008-nucleotide small RNA is filed under the name Pongo abelii (Sumatran orangutan). Its description in RNAcentral is "retained intron". Lineage: Eukaryota; Metazoa; Chordata; Mammalia; Primates; Hominidae. The record is from RNAcentral.